GCUGUGGGCGGGGCCAGGACACUCAGCUGGUAGGGAGGCCAGAGCCUGGAUGGUUGUCAGGACUGUAUGGCUGAAGUCCCCACUGUACAACUGGUUUUGUUUUGAGACUGGUUUUCAUUAGACAGCCCAUGUCCCCAUGCGUAGGCUUUAAAAAAUCUUUUUCCCCCCCAAUGUGGCCAAAGGUAGCUUCAAACUCACUAGGUAGCGCAGGCUAGCCUUAAAUUCCUAAACCUCUCCUCAGUCUCCUGAGUACUAGAACAAUACAUGUGUGCCACCAUGUCCCGCUAAGACCUUAUAUUCUUAUGCAUUUUGUGAAUAACAUUUACUGCUUAAAAAUAAAAUCCCCUGGCCAGGCGGUGCUGGCUCACACCUUUAAUCCCAGCACUCGGGAGGCAGAGGCAGGCGAUCUCUGUGAGUUCGAGGCCAGCCUGGUCUAGAGAGAAGUUCCAGGACAGCCUCCAAAGCCACAGAGAAACCCUGUCUGCAGCCCCCCUCGGCCCCCCGAGUUCACUUUCUUCACUCAUGUAUGUCUGGGCUACAUGAAGAAGCGCUUGUGACUACUGCGUGUGCACUGGGCUACUGGACAUCGAGCACCGAGGUGAGCGCCCGUGCCACACACACCGGCUGAGCUGAGUGCAAACGGCCCAGGUUCUGAAGGCUUCUGCUCACAUCUCCACGUGGCAAAUGCUGAGACACCGGCAAUUCCCGCUCACUACAGACGGCACUGAAUACCAGCGGCACUCACUUCCCACAGAUGGCCUUCGUACCGGAAGCUCCGUCCCCCGCCCCGGGGCCAUCAUCCUGAGCCCUCCAGGGACCCCAACAGCUGUGCCCGGGGCGGGGCGGGGCGGGCGCGGCAGCCCGGGGGCCGCACCUUCCACAUACUCCAUGACCAUGCAGAGGUGGCGGCGGGUCUCAAAGGAGCAGAACAUGCCGACCACGAAGGGGUUCUCCGCGAAGAGGCUGCUUCCAGGCAAACUCCUAUACAUCCUUCAAGACCCACCUUUUUAGUGCCCUUUCCAGCCCACACCAUACAUGGGAGACCUCUAUGAUGGGGCAGUUCCGCUGCAGCCACACCCCCGAAAUCACACCUGUUUAUCAAGCAUCUACUUCCAGCCACCCAGGAAAGGGAAAAACAUGGCUACCUCAGCUUGUAGCUCACCUCAGGGUAUCCAGGAGCUGGGGGCUGGUCUUCAUCAAGGUCAUUCAGGGGCUGGAUCUCUGUCAAAGGAUGCAAGAUUUAUUUCUUUUUAAACAGGAUUUCACUAUGCAGCCCAAUAGCAAGAACUAUAGAAUCUUCUAGAAAGGCCAUGAUUUGGGAUUUUAAUGCUCCGGAUGGAUGUUCCUCCACCCCAAUAUGUCCUUGCUCUAGGGGAUGGCAGACAGCAGGCUCCAGUGAGUCUCAGUGUGCGUUAGUUACUCACGGUGGCAGGGCCAGUGUCUUGGGGACAAGGACCCUGGGUUCGAGUCCAGGCCCGCCGUGCCCUGGGCGCCCGUGACUCACCUUCCAGCGGGUCCUUGGCCAGGCCCAGCUGGCGGAUGAUGUAGCGUGGCAGGUCGGCCUUCACGCCCUGAUCCUCGCGGGCCUGGCCCUCAGCGGCCUCCAGCAGAUGGUAGAAUUCCUCGGGGUCGAACUCCUGGAAGGAGAGGCCGUGAGCCCCCGCCCCUCACGGCGCCCCCCGAGCCCCAGGACUCCCGGGGCGGCGGCCCACCAGGCACUCGAGCAGCCGCGCCGGCCUGGAGAUGAUGAUGAGCAGCUUGCGGACCAGCUGUACGAUGAAGCCCACCUCGGCACUGUCAGACCGCUCGUGAGCCUGUGGGGCACAUGGGAUGAGGCCACGCCCGCCGGUGAGGCCCCGCCCGCUGGUGAGGCCACGCCUGCUGAGGGAGCCCAGCCACCAGCGGGCGGGGCCGUACCCACAUUCCCCCCCCCAGGCGUGGUCCUCUGCCGGCCCCGCCCCACGCACAUCCUGCAGCAGGCGCUCCAGCUUGUCCUGCAUCUCCAGGAAGUAGCGGGAGGUGACCAGGGCCUCGCCCGACUUGGCUAGGCAGUCCCGCGCCAGCUCCACAAUCUGGUGGUGGAUGAAGCCCAGGACCCCGUCAGCCAGCGCCAGGCGGCUGCCAGGGGCGAACGCUGCCAGGAAGUCCUGCAGCCGGCCCUCCAUCUGUGCGGUGGCCUGUGGAGGACGGAGGCUCCCGACGUUCGUCCAGGGCUGAAAGAGUGACAGGAGGGUGAGGGCGCUGAAGGCACGGCCUGUGCAGAGGGCCCCGCCCAGCCUACCUGAGGCUGCGGGAGCGUGGGCGCAGGCGCGGGGACCGGCCUCCUGCGUCCUCGUCCACCACGCUCUCCGAGCUGCGGAAGUGCUUGGACAGGAAGCGCAGCUCGUCCGCUGUGGGCUGGAAGGGAAGCUGGUGGAGACGCUCUCGGGAAGAUGAGCUUGACUGCCGAAAGGAAGGCCAGGGUCACAGCGGGCUUAGCGCGCACCCUGCCAGGCACCGCCGAGGACGCCCCAGCCCACUGUUGAGCCCUCCCGGCCAGAGAGGGACCCCACACCCACACGCCGCCAAAGGGCAUGGCCGGCCCGUCUACCCCAUCCACCUGCCCGUACCGACACGGUGGAGCUGGGCGUGUUGGUCCCAUAGCCGGAGGAUGGGAGAGAAGCAAGCGACCAUCUUCUGCCAUCAGCCCUGGAGAGAGACAGGGGCAGAUGGAAAGGCAGCCUGGCUGUGCUGGGCGGGAUUUGCAGCAGGCUGCGCUGGUGCAUUCCCAGUUUCUGGAUCAAGGACCCCGCUGACAGCCAGGUCCAAUGCUUGUAUUCUUCAAACAUUGCCUCCAGGGAGCUCUCCCUGAUGCCUGCACCCACCCAAGCUUUGGCCUGUCAGUUGCUGAUUUGGGGAUCCCUGUGCCCAGGCCCUAGGCACAUCAUGUCAGCUCUUGGUUAGUGAA
Long non-coding RNA from Mesocricetus auratus (golden hamster), 2947 nucleotides. RefSeq lists it as uncharacterized. The record is from RefSeq and is a predicted model, not a curated record. The transcript is spliced from 4 exons. Lineage: Eukaryota; Metazoa; Chordata; Mammalia; Rodentia; Cricetidae.